RNAcentral lists this long non-coding RNA (1257 nucleotides) under Homo sapiens (human). RNAcentral's name for it is "HSALNT0409269". Lineage: Eukaryota; Metazoa; Chordata; Mammalia; Primates; Hominidae. The record is from RNAcentral.
GCCUCAGGUGAUUUUGAUUCUUCUUUGCUUUCAUGUGGAGUCCUCGGUGCCCCUCAACAACACCAUGGGACACCAUUUUCAGGCUGGCCAUUUCCACAGACCGUGUCUGAGACACUGUCUUAACCUCAUCUUCACCUGUGGGAGGCCAGUUCAAGGAGUGGGAACACUGCUCCACUUUGGACUUGCCUUUGUCAUGGUUCCUGCCUUUCUCAGAGAGCCCCUUUGAGGCCCAGGAUACAGGGAGGCAGUGAGGACAUGUACCCAGCCAUCUUUUGCUGACAUCCACCUCUAGGGUCACAGAUAUUAUUCCAUCACCCAAAGAACCCUCAGCAACACACCAGACUAUAUUCCAAUCCUCAUGGGGCCAGAUUAUUGAAAACAGUCUCUUUCCAGAAUGGAGUCAGAAGAGCAGUUUCCAGCGACCACCUCACAGUAUCAAAAUGCCUCCUCCUCCAGUGGCACCUGACUAAGGAGACAUCAUGAAGAUGCCCUGAGGUCCAGACUUUUAGCGUCCCACUAGGGCUGCAUUAUUCCUGUAAGAUGAGAAACAGACAGCCUAUUUUGGCUUUUGCAUGGUGAUCAAGCCUCUGUUGUAUUUCAUCUGCAAGUCUUCUCAUUAGGAGGGGCUUUUUCAUUGUCUGCUGCUGGAUGGAACAGCCUCUUGCCACAGAUUAUUUGGCUGCCAGGGAUUUCAAAGAGCACAAGAGACUUCAGCCCUUGCCAGAACGGUGGUGCAGUGAUGUAUUACCUGCCAACAGCACAAUGUGAGGCAGGGUCCAGCCGUUCUGCCCAGCAUACAACUUGAGGGAGCAGCCCCUUUUGAAGACCUCCAGGUGGACUUCACAGGAAUGCCAAAGUGUGGAGUGAUCAUGUGUGGAUCAAGGACUGGAAUGUAGCCCACCCACAACUACGGUGGGAAGGACCCCAGACCAUCAUUUUGACGACUCUCACAGCAUGAAAAUAGAAGGAUUCCCAGCCUGGAUCAAUCACAGUCAUGUAUCAUCUACAUUGUCUGAGACCUGAGAGGUGAGACUGAGCCUGGUGGACCCCUGCAAAGUGACAUUGAGAAAGAUGGCAAGCCCUGCUACAGUCACAACCAGAAGCUUACUGUUGUAUGCAUGGCAAAAGAAUGAGGAUACUCAUCAUGGGAUUUAUUCUCCUUAAAAUUUGUACUUCUAUAAUAAAGACUGAUUUUUCCUGCAUGGAGGACUGUUCCCAGUUUAUUCAUCAGGUUACUGAGGUAGUACAACAAGUUCA